CAAUCCAAGAGCAUGGGAUAUCUUUCCAAUUUUUUAAAUCAUCUUCAGUUUCCUUUAUCAAUGUAUAGUUCUCAGCAUAUAAGUCUUUCACCUCCUUGGCCAGACUUCUUUAGUGUAAAGAAACGCAACAGAUUUAUGUAUGUUAAUCUUGUAUCCUGUUACCUUGAUGAAUAUGUUUAUCAGUUCUAGUUUUUGUGUGGAGUCUUUAGGGUUUUCUGUAUAUACUAUCAUGUCAUCUGCAUAUAAUGACAGUUUUAUCUCUUCCCUUCUAAUUUGGAUACCACAGAGGGUUUUUUAUAUGAAGUCUAGCCAGUGCUGAAUAAGAGAAUGACAUUUUCAAAGUCAAUAGAGUAGGUUGAGUUACAGUUUCAUUAUGUUAUUAGAAACUAAUUUUUCACUAAGUAGCUGAGCAUUUGGCAGGGAUUUAGUAGUGAACAUGAUUCUGCCUCUCUGUUAACAUUAUGUACACACUUAUUCCAAGAGUUAUAUUUCACCUCACUUAUCUCAAAGAGCCAAAAGAUAACAACGUAUUAGAGUAGCCUUAUUCUUUUUGCAAACUUCAAAUAAAAAGGCUUAUGAUUAGCCCUUAGAAAAGACAACACUGUUCAUGUUCAGUUAAGCAGGGUUUUUCUUUACCCAAAAGUAAAGACUAGUAUUAACUACUACAAACUAAUUUCUAUAAAGCUCACAGUUAAUCAGCAUGUUAGAGCUCUGGAUUCUUAAAGAACAGUGAGCCCAGGCCUCAUGCGUUUCACAAAGAUAUUUAAACUUUAUAUUGCAUUUUCUGAAAAAAGACCCGAUGAUUCAAACAAACUGAUAUGUGAUUAAAAAAACAUGUAUUAUGGGCAGUUUCACUUCUGGGAAUUUAUCAUAAGGAAAUAAGGAUGUGCACUAAGAUUUAGGUACAGUAAUAUUCAUUACAGCACUGUUUAUUGUGGCACAAAAUUGGAAGCAAUCCAUGUAUACAGUUAGAGGAGUAAAGUACAUUCAUUCAAUAGAAUAAUGUGUUGCCUUUCAAAAACAAAGAUAUUGAAAUGUAUAAGUACAUGGAAAGAGAUUCCUGUUGUGUUAAGUGCAAAAAGCAGGAAACCAGACUAUUUGUAAACAAGGAUUCAUUUCUCUGCCUAUCUUUAGGAUAUAAAUAUAUAUAUCUUGUAGGUGCAUAUAAAUAUGUAUGUGUACAUAUACAUAUUAUAAAUGAUGAAGUGGUUGCCUCUGAGUAAUGAAAUUGUUUAUUUACAUUCUAAAAUUUUAAAAUAAAUUUAACUUUUUAAAACCACGUUUCAACACGAGUUUUAUAACCACAUCUAAAUUUAACUUUUGGCUCUACGUAAAGAAAGUUUCAUCAAUAAAAUUAGGAUAAUACAUACUUCAUAGUAUUGUUAUAUUUUUUAAAAAACAUAAAGGGCAUGGCUUUUAGUAGUUUCUCAAUAAGUGUUUAUCUAAACCCUUUUGGAAGAAUGGAAUAGAAACCUUUAUUUCCUUUGUCCAUGGUUUCUUAUUUCUCUGCAAACCUAUAGCCAAUUAUAGAAAGUAAAAUUAAUGGUAGAGAUUCUGCAUUUUCAAAAGUAGUGCAGGGUGGUGAGGUUAGUACUAGGAGUUAAAUCAAUUCAAAGUAUUCUUGUCUACACCUAGGGGUAACAUUUUAUUGACUAAAGUUAGUCUACUUGCUUUCCUACUUAAUUUACUUCUAUGAGCAGUGUUAAGUAAACAUUUUUCUCUUAGAAAGAAUUAUCCUUCAUACUUUAAAUCAACCUUCUCUUGGGUGUCAUAGCCUUCUCCAACUGAUGAACAUAUUUACAAAAUUUAUUAUGAAGCACAUUGUUAUUUUAUUUCCUGGAAGAGAGUACGAGGGAAAGACACAGUUGAGAAAAGUUUGCCAAACUUUAAUAACAAAACAAUAUGUCUAGGAUUUGGAUCCUGUUAUAUUCCUAGCUCUUUUGGUAGAUUUAUGGACGCUAAAAGCAAACAAGCUUUAAAAAGAUACUUGGCUACUUAAGCCACAUAUUUGUAACAGCCUAAUUGAUUUUCCACUUAAUAUAGAAUUUGCUUAUUCUCUGUUAAUAUUUCUAUUUAGAAGUGUCAAUUUCAUGUUAUCCUCUUUUAAAAAGUCCAAAAAUGUUUAGGGCCAUGUAUUCCAAAGUAAAGGUUUAUACAUUUGUGUUUACAGAGAUAAUGAAAAUAUAAAAGUUUAGUUGUAAUAUCAAGGAAGGGUUAAAGAAUAUUGGAAAUCUAUAUAGAAUCAAGAGGAGAGAUACUGUAACGUGGUCAGAGAUGUUUGAAACUGGCUGUGUAAAAAUACCAAGAGAAUAAGCAAGGUCACCCUGAACCAUUUAGUCUGAGUGGCAUUUCAUGCAAAUACCCUUGAGCUUGAGGUUAGACUGAUUGAAGCCAUGACUUGAAUUGCUGCUGUCUUUGAGCUGCUGAUCUCAGAGACUUGAGGUAUUGAUGUUGUGGAUGGAUCCAAGUAGUAAAAUGUCUCAUUUGCUAUGACGCCUGCGUGGGUACUUAACUUCUGAUCAUUCUGCUAAUAUUUCCAGGGGCUGUGUUUCUUUGUAAGGUUAGUUCAGCGAUGAUUACAUAUUAAUCAAAUGUAUUUAUGUUCUUUUUGGAUCUCUUCCAUUCUGUGGACAAUAGUAGCACCUUAAUUUUAACAACUGUGAUAUUCUCUAUUUGGGGAAGGGGUGGGUGAUAGGAAUAGAUUAUAUAAACACAUGGUGCAAAAUUCAAAAUUUAAGAAAAGAUACAUGAGCUUUUCAGUUUCAGCUUCGACAUGUAAAGCUUGGAAGCUGUCUCUUCUACCGUCACAACAAGAAAAAACUGAACAAACUGAAAAAUCAAUGGCUUUUUUAGAUCCUUUGGAGAAUUGGGGUCACAGGACUAACCACCACCUCAAAAACAGGAGAGAUAAAUGAAUGCAGAGAAUAUAGAUCAACCUACCUGCAGCAAAAGCAUGAUGGGAACCCUUAAAUAAUAACUUUGGUAAUUGCGAGAGGCUGUGUGAACUAGCUUGAGAGUUAUAAACUUCUGGGAACCAUCAUGCUUUUACACUUUCCUGAGUUUUACCUCUGGGAGCCCCACCACGUUCUCACAGAGGAAACUUCCCCAUGUUUGGCCUGGAGGAGAGGGAAAGUAACCCUUUCGAAAUAAGCCCAGAACAUUCUCCAUAACAAAGUCCUAUCAGACAAGGAAAAAACUGAAGCCUUAUCAGGCUUGGAGGAAGGGUAAUUACCUAACUCCAGUCCCUUUUAGAACUUCAAGUCUCACCUAAGGGAGAAAAAAUGCUGAGAAGCACUUGUAAAGGUUACAGCCCAGGGACACAGGACCACUCAAUGAGAGUGGUCAUCGCUACUGAUCUCAUUAAUAUGAAAAGGAUAGUAAAGGAAUAUUAUGAGCAUCUAUCUGUCUACAAAUUUAAUGACCUAGAUGAAAUGGACCAAUUUUGUGAGAGAGACAAGCUAAAAUUCACACAAGAAGAAAUGGAUACUCUGAAUAGGACUGUAUCUAUUAAAUCAAUAAUUACUAACCUUCCAAAACGGCAUCAGGCCAAGGUGGUUUCACUGGUGAAUUCUACCAAAUAUUUGAGAGAAAUGAUACAAUUUUUCUACAAUCUCUUCCAGAAAAUAGAAGCAUAUCAUUCUGUGAGGCCAUCAUUACCCUAAUACCAAAACCAGACAAACAUUACAAGAAGACCAAUAUCAUGAACCAAAGAUAUAGUCAUACCUUGGAAAUAUUGCAGAUUGAGUUCCAGACCACUGCUAAUAAAGAAAAGAUCUCAAUAAAGUUACAGGAUAUCAGAGGGGUAGUGUGAUGCAACCCAAUGAGGAAUGGACAUCUCCAGUGACUGAGGUGAUGUGGAACUCUAUGUCCUCUGGGGAGAGGAGCACAGGCUCCGGACGCACAGGCUCAGCGGCCAUGGCUCACUGG
Molecule: long non-coding RNA, 3927 nt
Organism: Aethalodelphis obliquidens (Pacific white-sided dolphin)
Lineage: Eukaryota; Metazoa; Chordata; Mammalia; Artiodactyla; Delphinidae
Exons: 3
Source: RefSeq, a predicted model, not a curated record